GCGUUCCAAGGGGAUGUGUGUGCGCUCCGGGGAGUGAGACAGCACAGCAGCAGCAGCGCAGCACGACCGGCGCUGGCUCCUCUGCUGCCCGCGGCGCUCGGCGGCCGGAGGAGACGGCUGCUCGCGGUGCCCGCCUCAGGGAGGGCGGCCCGGCCCGCGCUGCCUGCCCGCCGCGCUGCUGCGCCGGGCUGCAGGCGCCUCACGGAACCCACGAGCCUAGUGUCCAAAAGAUGUUCUUACAUUGCUAUCUUUUGCGUGUUGGAAAUUAUUACACUGGUUUGUCUGGGUGAGAAGAAUCAGGAAGAGAAUAAUCCUUCUGUGGCCAUGGGAUAGUGCAGUUGAAAUAUCUUGCUUUUCCUGCCAUCCUCAGUCCCAUUUCCCCAUCACACAAAUAUUAGACUUCAGAGAUGUUCAUCUGAUGCUGGGGAAACCUGACAAGUUCAGGUCCUGGUUCUGAUCCGGUUGCUUCUCAGACUAAAAGAAAGAGAAAAAGAAGUCUCCAGGCUGGAAGGUGCUGGAAGCACCUUCCCACCAGAAUUCACAGUUAGAAGACGCCGGAAGGUUGUUUUGAUCUGAUAUGCACUGGAAGAAGCUUUUUCUGUUUAUUUAAAAUAAAGGCCAGCUUCCAUAUGGCUCUUGUUGCCCCAGCUCUCUGCCAAGGCUUUUCAGUGUGGAAACAUGACUGCAGCAUGUGAGCACUAAUGCACAGACAAGAAGGGAAUGCUCAGAUGCACACGAGAAAAUGACAAGUCCCCUACAAACACAUUCCAGGGUCUUACUAGAAAAAAGGGCUGGACUACAAAGAAAGAAGGAGCAGGAAUU
This is a non-coding RNA of Cyanistes caeruleus (blue tit), 822 nucleotides long. The record is from RefSeq and is a predicted model, not a curated record. NCBI's taxonomy places the organism in Eukaryota, Metazoa, Chordata, Aves, Passeriformes, Paridae.